GACGAACGCUGGCGGCGUGCUUAACACAUGCAAGUCGAACGGAAAGGCCCUGCUUUUGUGGGGUGCUCGAGUGGCGAACGGGUGAGUAACACGUGAGUAACCUGCCCUUGACUUUGGGAUAACUUCAGGAAACUGGGGCUAAUACCGGAUAGGAGCUCCUGCUGCAUGGUGGGGGUCGGAAAGUUUCGGCGGUUGGGGAUGGACUCGCGGCUUACCAGCUUGUUGGUGGGGUAGUGGCUUACCAAGGCUUUGACGGGUAGCCGGCCUGAGAGGGUGACCGGCCACAUUGGGACUGAGAUACGGCCCAGACUCCUACGGGAGGCAGCAGUGGGGAAUAUUGCACAAUGGGCGGAAGCCUGAUGCAGCAACGCCGCGUGCGGGAUGACGGCCUUCGGGUUGUAAACCGCUUUCGCCUGUGACGAAGCGUGAGUGACGGUAAUGGGUAAAGAAGCACCGGCUAACUACGUG
This 468-nucleotide ribosomal RNA is filed under the name uncultured bacterium. RNAcentral's name for it is "partial 16S ribosomal RNA". It matches the Rfam family "Bacterial small subunit ribosomal RNA", at positions 28 to 507 of the family's 1533-position model. The record is from RNAcentral.